Molecule: long non-coding RNA, 497 nt
Filed under: Homo sapiens (human)
Lineage: Eukaryota; Metazoa; Chordata; Mammalia; Primates; Hominidae
Description: HSALNT0032269
Source: RNAcentral
UCUAAUCCCAGAGCACUUGAGAGAAUUGCUGCUCAUCUCCAAGUGCCAAGGUUUGGAUGUGGAUUUUAAAAAUUAACCAUAGCUCAAUGCUUUUAUUAAAAAACAACUUUGCCACAAUUUCUAUGUUAUUAUCUUGUUAGUCCCAUUUUUUUAAUAAUGGCAACUGUCACCUGCCAGAUGGUAGGUUUCCACAGAGCCACACAGAGAGUGAUCUCAAUGAUGGCAUUCCUUGUAACAUGACCCAGAGGCAAUAGGGUGGAAGGAAUAAUGAGACUAUUAGUUUAGUCUUAAUGAUGGCUCUUCGGAAGGAUUACCAAAGACCUACCGUCUAGUUUGCUAACAUGGUUAGCAAAAGAACUAAGUUAAUUCUCUCUCUCUUUCUUAAAGGGGCAACUUUGUAUUUCUCUCAAAAUUGUAUUUCAAAUUUUGAAAUCAAUAACUAAUUCUAGAAUUUGUUUUUAAGAUUAACAUUCCUUACAUAGGACUGUACUGCAGCU